This is a long non-coding RNA of Gallus gallus (chicken), 717 nucleotides long. The record is from Ensembl. NCBI's taxonomy places the organism in Eukaryota, Metazoa, Chordata, Aves, Galliformes, Phasianidae.
CUGUAAACACCCCUGGAAGCUAGUUGGUAAGCUGGAGGUGAGAACACAAAAUCACAAGUGGGUAAAAUUCAUGUCAUGCAGUAAACAGACCAUUCUUACUGUGGCUGUAACAUAAAUCAGGUGUAAAGGUACCAAACCUGAAAGGAUGAAACUCUGUUCUACCCACCACUUCAAAAGCUUAUGCUAUUGAAGAACAGGAGACCGUAAAAAUAAAAUUUUAAAAAAGAUGUUGAAUAUAAUAUGCUCAGUAAACAAAACAUGAAGACCUGACUGUGGCAUCCAUCGUCUCAAGCUGGAUGACCGGGCCAGAAACUCACUGUGGUAUAUGUGACACGGACAUAAAGGUAAACAAGUCUCUAAAGUUAGAAGAGAAAUGAUAGAAAAGAACUGUUCUCUGUUCAAAAUUGCACUGAAUGGUCUGUAUUUUUCUGACAAGAUGAUGCUGGUCUGAAGAAUAAUGAGCCCAUUUGCUUUUCUGAUGUUGCUUGCCAGGGAAAAGUAAAUCUCACUCUCUUGCUUUGCAGUUUACUUUGUGUUAGUUUGACAGGAUCUUUAAAGAAAUUAAAUGGAAAAUAAUUGAAUCCUCAUAUAAGGCUUUAUUGUCUCAGGGGAAAGAAAAGUUUUGCAUAACACAGCCUUACCUGAAAAUCAUUAAUUGCAGCUUAAAAAAGUUUUGAAAUGAACAAAACGGGUUUUUUUGGUUUUUGUUUUUUUUUU